RNAcentral lists this ribosomal RNA (657 nucleotides) under uncultured fungus. RNAcentral's name for it is "eukaryotic LSU rRNA". It matches the Rfam family "Eukaryotic large subunit ribosomal RNA", at positions 24 to 664 of the family's 3401-position model. Lineage: Eukaryota; Fungi. The record is from RNAcentral.
CCCGCUGAACUUAAGCAUAUCAAUAAGCGGAGGAAAAGAAACUAACAAGGAUUCCCCUAGUAACGGCGAGUGAAGCGGGAUGAGCUCAAAUUUAAAAUCUGGUAGUCUUUGGCUGCCCGAGUUGUAAUCUAGAGAAGUGUUUUCCGCGCUGGACUGUGUACAAGUUUCCUGGAUAUGGAACAUCAUAGAGGGUGAGAAUCCCGUCCUUGACACAGACUCCCAGUGCUUUGUGAUGCGCUCUCAACGAGUCGAGUUGUUUGGGAUUGCAGCUCAAAAUGGGAGGUAAAUUCCUUCUAAAGCUAAAUAUUGGCGAGAGACCGAUAGCGAACAAGUACCGUGAGGGAAAGAUGAAAAGCACUUUGGAAAGAGAGUUAAACAGUACGUGAAAUUGUUAAAAGGGAAACGAUUGAAGUCAGUCGCGUUGGCCAGGGAUCAGCCUUGCUUUUGCAUGGUGUACUUUCUGGUUGACGGGUCAGCAUCAAUUUUGACCGCUGGAAAAGGGCCUGGGGAAUGUGGCAGCUUCGGCUGUGUUAUAGCCCCUGGUCACAUACGGCGGUUGGGAUUGAGGAACUCAGCACGCCGCAAGGCCGGGUUUCGACCACGUUCGUGCUUAGGAUGCUGGCAUAAUGGCUUUAAGCGACCCGUCUUGAAACACGG